UGAGGAAUAUUGGACAAUGGAGGCAACUCUGAUCCAGCCAUGCCGCGUGAAGGACUAAGGCCCUAUGGGCUGUAAACUUCUUUAGACGCAGAGCAAUAAGGGCCACGUGUGGUCCGAUGAGAGUAUGCGUAGAAUAAGCAUCGGCUAACUCCGUGCCAGCAGCCGCGGUAAGUACGGGGGAUGCGAGCGUUAUCCGGAUUCAUUGGGUUUAAAGGGUGCGUAGGCGGCUUUGCAAGUCAGUGGUGAAAUGGUGUGGCUCAACCAUAGCAUUGCCGUUGAAACUGAUACCCUUGAGUGCAGUAGAGGUAUGCGGAAUGUGUUGUGUAGCGGUGAAAUGCAUAGAUAUGACACAGAACACCGAUUGCGAAGGCAGCAUACUGGACUGUAACUGACGCUGAAGCACGAAAGCGUGGGGAUCGAACAGGAUUA
Molecule: ribosomal RNA, 429 nt
Filed under: uncultured bacterium
Lineage: Bacteria
Description: bacterial SSU rRNA
Rfam family: Bacterial small subunit ribosomal RNA
Source: RNAcentral